CCUACGGGUGGCAGCAGUGAGGAAUAUUGGUCAAUGGACGAGAGUCUGAACCAGCCAAGUAGCGUGAAGGAUGACUGCCCUAUGGGUUGUAAACUUCUUUUAUAAAGGAAUAAAACGAGGCACGUGUGCCUUUUUGCAUGUACUUUAUGAAUAAGGAUCGGCUAACUCCGUGCCAGCAGCCGCGGUAAUACGGAGGAUCCGAGCGUUAUCCGGAUUUAUUGGGUUUAAAGGGAGCGUAGAUGGGUUGUUAAGUCAGUUGUGAAAGUUUGCGGCUCAACCGUAAAAUUGCAAUUGAUACUGGCAGUCGUGAGUACAGUUGAGGUAAGCGGAAUUCGUGGUGUAGCGGUGAAAUGCUUAGAUAUCACGAAGAACCCCGAUUGCGAAGGCAGCUUACUAAACUGUGACUGACAUUGAUGCUCGAAAGUGUGGGUAUCAAACAGGAUUAGAUACCACUGUAGUC
Molecule: ribosomal RNA, 460 nt
Filed under: uncultured bacterium
Lineage: Bacteria
Description: partial 16S ribosomal RNA
Rfam family: Bacterial small subunit ribosomal RNA
Source: RNAcentral